RNAcentral lists this ribosomal RNA (411 nucleotides) under Geobacillus stearothermophilus. Its description in RNAcentral is "bacterial SSU rRNA". It matches the Rfam family "Bacterial small subunit ribosomal RNA", at positions 1 to 397 of the family's 1533-position model. The record is from RNAcentral. Lineage: Bacteria; Bacillati; Bacillota; Bacilli; Caryophanales; Anoxybacillaceae.
UUCUUUGGAGAGUUUGAUCCUGGCUCAGGACGAACGCUGGCGGCGUGCCUAAUACAUGCAAGUCGAGCGGACCGGAUUGGGGCUUGCCUUGAUUCGGUCAGCGGCGGACGGGUGAGUAACACGUGGGCAACCUGCCCGCAAGACCGGGAUAACUCCGGGAAACCGGAGCUAAUACCGGAUAACACCGAAGGCCGCAUGGUCUUCGGUUGAAAGGCGGCCUUUGGGCUGUCACUUGCGGAUGGGCCCGCGGCGCAUUAGCUAGUUGGUGAGGUAACGGCUCACCAAGGCGACGAUGCGUAGCCGGCCUGAGAGGGUGACCGGCCACACUGGGACUGAGACACGGCCCAGACUCCUACGGGAGGCAGCAGUAGGGAAUCUUCCGCAAUGGGCGAAAGCCUGACGGAGCGACGC